This 192-nucleotide ribosomal RNA is filed under the name uncultured Staphylococcus sp. RNAcentral's name for it is "partial 16S ribosomal RNA". It matches the Rfam family "Bacterial small subunit ribosomal RNA", at positions 148 to 334 of the family's 1533-position model. The record is from RNAcentral. Lineage: Bacteria; Bacillati; Bacillota; Bacilli; Caryophanales; Staphylococcaceae.
UUCGGGAAACCGGAGCUAAUACCGGAUGAUAUAUUGAACCGCAUGGUUCAAUAGUGAAAGACGGUUUUGCUGUCACUUAUAGAUGGAUCCGCGCCGCAUUAGCUAGUUGGUAAGGUAACGGCUUACCAAGGCAACGAUGCGUAGCCGACCUGAGAGGGUGAUCGGCCACACUGGAACUGAGACACGGUCCAG